GAGUUUGAUCCUGGCUCAGAUUGAACGCUGGCGGCAUGCUUUACACAUGCAAGUCGAACGGUAACAGGGUGCUUGCACCGCUGACGAGUGGCGGACGGGUGAGUAAUAUAUCGGAACGUACCUGGUAAUGGGGGAUAACUAUCCGAAAGGAUAGCUAAUACCGCAUACGCCCCGAGGGGGAAAGUGGGGGACUCGCAAGAGCCUCACGUUAUCAGAGCGGCCGAUAUCAGAUUAGCUAGUUGGUGAGGUAAAGGCUCACCAAGGCAACGAUCUGUAGCGGGUCUUAGAGGACGAUCCGCCACACUGGAACUGAGACACGGUCCAGACUCCUACGGGAGGCAGCAGUGGGGAAUCUUGGACAAUGGGCGAAAGCCUGAUCCAGCAAUGCCGCGUGCGUGAAGAAGGCCUUCGGGUUGUAAAGCGCUUUUGUUCGGGAGGAAAUCCUAAGGGCUAAUAUCUCUUGGGGAUGACAGUACCGGAAGAAUAAGGACCGGCUAACUACGUGCCAGCAGCCGCGGUAAUACGUAGGGUCCAAGCGUUAAUCGGAAUUACCGGGCGUAAAGGGUGCGCAGGUGGUUUAUUAAGUGUGAUGUGAAAGCCCCGGGCUCAACCUGGGAAUUGCAUUGCAAACUGGUUAACUAGAGUAUGGCAGAGGGGGGUGGAAUUCCGCGUGUAGCAGUGAAAUGCGUAGAGAUGCGGAGGAACACCGAUGGCGAAGGCAACCCCCUGGGCUAAUACUGACACUCAUGCACGAAAGCGUGGGGAGCAAACAGGAUUAGAUACCCUGGUAGUCCACGCC
RNAcentral lists this ribosomal RNA (799 nucleotides) under uncultured bacterium. Its description in RNAcentral is "bacterial SSU rRNA". It matches the Rfam family "Bacterial small subunit ribosomal RNA", at positions 9 to 801 of the family's 1533-position model. The record is from RNAcentral.